Microbacterium sp. T32 is the source of this 98-nucleotide regulatory RNA element. It matches the Rfam family "mraW RNA". The record is from Rfam. Lineage: Bacteria; Bacillati; Actinomycetota; Actinomycetes; Micrococcales; Microbacteriaceae.
UUCUGAUCGCCGGCUGUGAUUCCCAGCCGCACGCCCUGACGCCACUUCCCCGGUGCCAGGUCGAGCGGAUGGGGAUCAGAGCCCACGAUCCCACCCCG